RNAcentral lists this transfer RNA (97 nucleotides) under Clostridium perfringens. RNAcentral's name for it is "tRNA-Asp". It matches the Rfam family "tRNA". Rfam says of the family: Transfer RNA (tRNA) molecules are approximately 80 nucleotides in length. Their secondary structure includes four short double-helical elements and three loops (D, anti-codon, and T loops). Further hydrogen bonds mediate the characteristic L-shaped molecular structure. tRNAs have two regions of fundamental functional importance: the anti-codon, which is responsible for specific mRNA codon recognition, and the 3' end, to which the tRNAs corresponding amino acid is attached (by aminoacyl-tRNA synthetases). tRNAs cope with the degeneracy of the genetic code in two manners: having more than one tRNA (with a specific anti-codon) for a particular amino acid; and 'wobble' base-pairing, i.e. permitting non-standard base-pairing at the 3rd anti-codon position. Lineage: Bacteria; Bacillati; Bacillota; Clostridia; Eubacteriales; Clostridiaceae. The record is from RNAcentral.
GGCUCAGUAGCUCAGUUGGUUAGAGUGCCGGCCUGUCACGCCGGAGGUCGAGGGUUCGAGGGUGGUAACAGGGGUUCGAUUCCCCUAGGGGUCACCA